RNAcentral lists this ribosomal RNA (339 nucleotides) under Staphylococcus pettenkoferi. RNAcentral's name for it is "bacterial SSU rRNA". It matches the Rfam family "Bacterial small subunit ribosomal RNA", at positions 1 to 329 of the family's 1533-position model. The record is from RNAcentral. Lineage: Bacteria; Bacillati; Bacillota; Bacilli; Caryophanales; Staphylococcaceae.
UUUAUGGAGAGUUUGAUCCUGGCUCAGGAUGAACGCUGGCGGCGUGCCUAAUACAUGCAAGUCGAGCGAACAGACGGGGAGCUUGCUCCCCCGACGUUAGCGGCGGACGGGUGAGUAACACGUGGGCAACCUACCUAUAAGACUGGAAUUACUUCGGGAAACCGGGGCUAAUGCCGGGUAACAUGUUGGACCGCAUGGUCCUUGAUUGAAAGACGGUCUUGGUGUCACUUUUUGAUGGACCCUCGCCGGAUUAGCUAGAUGGUAUGGUAACGGAUUAUCCAGGCAACGAUCCGUUGCCGAUAUGUGCGUGGUGUCGGCCACUCUGGUACUGAGAAAACG